Homarus americanus (American lobster) is the source of this 1180-nucleotide long non-coding RNA. RefSeq lists it as uncharacterized. Lineage: Eukaryota; Metazoa; Arthropoda; Malacostraca; Decapoda; Nephropidae. The transcript has 3 exons. The record is from RefSeq and is a predicted model, not a curated record.
GCUCUUGGCCAGGCAAGCAGUACUUUCUCCAAGGGGACAGUCACCACACUUCCCUGCAACCUGGAAUACGACAUCAAGCUUUUUAUCCAAUACAGAAAUUCACAUCUAGUCAUGUAAAGCAGAUUCCGUAUACACAGGAUGACCGUUACACUGGCAGAAGCAACAGGAAGAGAAGAUGAACGACGACUCUUAUCAGCUAAAUGCCACGAAGACUUCUGAUUAGUGAGGACCCUAGCUACUGCUACUCCUCCACCUGGGGCGAGCACCUUCACCUGCUGACCUGGGGACAGUUGGUCACCACGGUAGGGCAGAUAUGGACGCCCACUGCUGGCUCCUGUGGAAUUUACAGAUGGACUAACCUAGACUAGCAGCAUCAGGUUCACCUCUCCAAGAACUGAAUCCACCUUGGUGUGAGCGUGUCCUCCGUCUCCGCUGUCUGUGUCGUUUUCUGUAUUGUCCAUCCCUGUCUGUUGGCAGGGUCAUGGUUAAUAAUAACAGAUAAUUAUUACCACUACAAUAGUACACUACAACAAUUUUAAGAACAAUAUUAAAAAUCUUAAUGAUAUGAUAAUACGAUUACAAAUACAGUAUGCAUCUUGUGUGGGAGCAUGACACAAUGUACCAGUAACUGUAAUUGGUUGAAACUUUUUUUUUUACUCGAAUUAUCAAAAAGAAACUUUUUCUAUGAAAAGCACUAUCAAUUUUUUUAAUGAAUUUGUAAAAUUACCAAAAAUUAAUGAGAGGAAACCAUAAUUUUAACAGAUAAUGGAAAGUGAUAUACCACAAUAUGACAAAUAAUUUUAAAAUUAAAUACUAAUAUGCUGUAUCAACUUCCAUAAUAUCAUUUUUCAUGACUGAUGUCCUCCCCAAGUGACUGUGUUACAAGGAAACCCUUGUAAACCCUAGAAUUUAGUGGCUGGGACUAAUUCAUUAAUUAGUUAUGUGUCUUAUUUUAAAUCAACCUGUUAAAUGCAUUUCUACUUUACAAGGAAUGUGUUAAUUUUUACAUGAUCAUAGACCCAAAUGUUCCUGUGCUUGGUCUAGCUGUUUCGGUCACUUCGUGGUUUAGAAACAGUGACACUCUUCUGUGGUACAAAUGAUGUGCUUCUUGUUGUAUCAUUAUAUUAAAUAAAGGUGGAAGUUGAGUGUAGUCAUUGGGAAAUAAAAAUUACAACAUGAA